AUUGAACGCUGGCGGCAUGCCUAACACAUGCAAGUCGAGCGGAUGAAGGGAGCUUGCUCCUGGAUUCAGCGGCGGACGGGUGAGGAAUGCCUAGGAAUCUGCCUGGUAGUGGGGGAUAACGUCCGGAAACGGGCGCUAAUACCGCAUACGGCCUGAGGGAGAGAGUGGGGGAUCUUCGGACCUCACGCUAUCAGAUGAGCCUAGGUCGGAUUAGCUAGUUGGUGGGGUAAAGGCCUACCAAGGCGACGAUCCGUAACUGGUCUGAGAGGAUGAUCAGUCACACUGGAACUGAGACACGGUCCAGACUCCUACGGGAGGCAGCAGUGGGGAAUAUUGGACAAUGGGCGAAAGCCUGAUCCAGCCAUGCCGCGUGUGUGAAGAAGGUCUUCGGAUUGUAAAGCACUUUAAGUUGGGAGGAAGGGCAGUAAGUUAAUACCUUGCUGUUUUGACGUUACCAACAGAAUAAGCACCGGCUAACUUCGUG
Molecule: ribosomal RNA, 484 nt
Filed under: uncultured bacterium
Lineage: Bacteria
Description: partial 16S ribosomal RNA
Rfam family: Bacterial small subunit ribosomal RNA
Source: RNAcentral